Long non-coding RNA from Columba livia (rock pigeon), 1736 nucleotides. RefSeq lists it as uncharacterized. The transcript is spliced from 2 exons. The record is from RefSeq and is a predicted model, not a curated record. Lineage: Eukaryota; Metazoa; Chordata; Aves; Columbiformes; Columbidae.
UGUGAGGGCGCGAGGCCGCGCGCGGGCCGGCGCUGAGGUGAGGGGACGUGAGGUGAGGGGACGGGAGCAGAGCGGCCGCCGCGCCCCGGCCCGCCCGCUGCCCACGCGAGGCGAGCGAAGGCUCGCUGAAGUGACAUCAAAGUGUCAUUCUGGAAUCGGGCGUUUAAUUUCUCUCGGGGUUCUGCUCUAGAAAUUACACACAUCUAUCUGAACUAUUCUUGGAUCCUCUUCAACUUCCGCAACGAGAACAAGUCACAGAUUCAAAACACAGAUUGACUCGAGGCGGGCGAAGGCAGCGGGCAGGGGACGGAGGCGCCGCUGCCGCCCGGCCCCGCCGGCCCGCGCAGCAUCCCGGCCGCGGGAGCGCGCAUCCCGCCGCCGUGCGUGGCGUGAUAAUCGGGGCUGAGACAGGGCCCUGGGCGACGGAGACCUCCCCUAGGCUAGAAAUAACUUGUUGUGGAAAACUCUUUUGGGAUAAAUACGCCCAACGGCGCUGAAAAUACCUUAAGCCCCAAGCCUAGAGGUUUGCUCAUUUCCCUUCGGAUUUAGGUAAUGGUUAAAUAUGGAAGGGGUAGGCGAGAUCCCCCAUCACCCCCCCUCCUCGGCGCACGGUGGCUCUGUAGCUUGAGAGCGAUGCAAACACGAAGGCGAAAGAGGAGCGGAGCCAGGCGGGAGGGAAGCGGUUGCCUUCCUCGCCUGCGUGACAGUGCUCAGGCUGCUAACCCGGGGAGGCGGGCACGGUAGCGGGGACCCCCGCAUUGAGCAGGGGGGAAACGUGCCCCCUUCUGCAAAGAGAAAAAGGCUCGUCUUGCUCUGCACACACUCCCCGAUCCCAAAACACGGUUUUCCAGGUCUAGCCUCGGAUUCCUGGUGCAACCAGGAAAUCCGGCUCAGCUCUGCAGUAUCUUUCUGAGGUGGUUCUGGGCUUCGCUCUCAGACACCUCAGGUCACCAGCAACUUCGAUGAGUGUAGGGCGCCCGAAGUACGGCCCUGCAGCGAGCAAAUCGAGAUUUAAACCUUCAGAAACGACCGAAAAUUAUGUUGGACAAGGCAGGAGCAAACUUGAGCCUCCCUCGCGUCCAGAAGAACGCUGACUUUGCGAACAGGUGCUUUCUUUCACCACGAACCCAACCCCGACGUAUUCACAGAAAAAAAAUAGAAAAAACUUUGUGCCUGUGAGACCGUGUGGAACAUAGGAUUAACGUGACUUCCCAAAAUCUAACUAAGCAAGCAAGCACCACCACGAGAAAACCGUCCAACCUUUUGCGUGAUGCUCUAGCAGUGACACAAAAGGAAGUUGAAGAACACAACUGACACAUCGCCCUUCACACCUUCAUUAUUGCCGGAAAGUUCCUGGUGCUGGGCACAGCAGUUUUAUUUACGGCAUCUCUGUAUCGCGGUCUCCUUGCUGCGCCUUUGGUUGAUUACGCUGAAAAUCAUUCACGCCGUCAGCAUCACAAAUAAAUGCUGGAAUCAGUAGAAACAACCAGAUUAGAACAACUCGGUGUAAUUUCGUGUACGCGUCUUCGUUGACUCAUUGUUUGUGACUUUUUGCAAAACUGUCUUUCUCGUUUCCCUCUGAAAUGGGACGAUGAACUAAUAGGCUUUCGAUUACCUUUCUAAACGGCGCUUUGGCUGAGCCUGAUGAAAGCAUCAGAAAACAUUACUGUAAAUUACUAUUAAGGCUCAAACUCAAUUCUGACCUGGUUACAAUGAAAUACAUAUUCGUCUUUAGA